CCACUUUUUUUCCUAAUCAUUUGCUAAAAACUACCACUUUGAUUUAAGUACCGUUUUAAGCAUUUUAAUGUGAUUAUGACAGACUAGACCCAUCCGUCAGGACUGGAAAAGUCAGCACCGUUAACUUUGACCGUUAACAUGUGGGGCCCACAUGUCAGUUCUAUCCUCUUCCUCUAAAAUUCCCCAUGGAGGAUCUAGAUCAGGGGGUCCCGUCACCUGCGAGCUCCGGUGGCCAUCCUCUGCACCGGAGACCUCCCCUGCCUGUGGUUGUGCCCGUCGGGCACCACCACCUACGCCCGUGAGUGGCUUGCGGGGUGAGGGGAUGUGGAAGCCAAGGCAUGGAAAGGGCGGGGCGGCGGGCGCGUGCUGGCAGAGCUCCUGCCGCUGCGGAGAAAGAAGAGCUCGCCGGUGAGGCUCUUGUGGCCGAGGGGUUGCGGGCGUCGUGGGAGCCGCAGGGAGGAGUAGGAGGUCUUGGGCGAGACAGAGGAGGGGCAAUGGUGACAGCGCCAUGUACAAGAGUCCUCAGCCAUGGCGGCGCCCCUCACUUUGGUGGUCUCGGUCCGAUACGACGAGCAGAGGAUGGCGGCUGCUCGUGGUUGUGGCCUUGCGCCGCGCGGCGGUUGUGAAGCGCAUCGGGCCUGUUGCCGCCCGUCGAUGCGGACACCGGGUAGUAGCACGACUCGCCGACGGGAGGAUGGGAGGCACACUGCUCACCGGGGGAGGAGGGAGGGUCGCAGGGUGGUGGCUGGGUAGAUGGUUGGAGGAUGGAGGUGCUGAGGGGAAGGAGGUGGAGUGUGGCCUGAGCUGCGGCAUGGCGGCGCCCCUGAUCUGGAUCCUCGGUGGGGAAUUUCAGAGCAAGGAGAUGGAACUGGCAUAUGAGCCCCACAUAUUCACGGUCAAAGUAACGGUGUUGGCUAUUUCCGCAUUGAUGGGUGGGCCCAGCCUAUCAUAAUCGGGUUUAGUCCAUCACUUUUCAGACUUGGUAGUUUUUAGCAAAGGAUUAGGAAAAAAAUGGUAGUUUUUCGUACAAAAUCAUAAAGUGGUAGUUUCUGGGCACGUUUUCAUGAAAUGUGGUAGUUUUUGGUUAAAUACUCGCUUUAUCACCACUCGCCGGUUUGGUAAGUAAAAAUUGUGGUUCGAACUAUGCCUCGUUGAGCCAUCUGUGACUUAUGUCUCCAUUACAAAUGCAGCCAUAUGUGAUGGAGGGGAUGGAGAGGAUACCAGCCAUGCGAUUCUUAAGUUUUGCAAUGGGAAACUACAUGGUGUGGAUUUGGUUUGGUUGGCUCGGGGAUGAUCCUUUGGUGAUGUGGCCUAAUGUUACCGGUUUUAUCGUGUCAAUCGUCUUGCUGAUCCUACAUGUGGUGAUAUCUGGGUGGGCGAUGGAGUACAUGGCGCUUCCGCACAACGACUGAAUGUGAUGGGAUCUGGAGGCGGACUGAUGAAUGAUGAUGAUCGUGCAGGUCUUCAAUUCUCAAAUCAAUGGGAAAACAAUUAGGUCUCAUAUCUGUUGCUGCAAUGAAUGUUUCUUCCGGGGGCAAUCUGAACUUAGUCUGGAGUUACUAUUUUUCUAUGUUCUGAGACUUCAUUAGCCUAAAGCUAUUUUGCAUGGUCCAAAACAAGAAAAUGUAGUAGUUUUGCUCAGAUUUAGGAUGGAAGCCUAGAGCUAUUGCUAUGUUCUGAGAUUUGUUAAGCCUGAAUUAAUUCUUGUCUGAAUGUCUGGCGCACGGAUAGUAUGGUUUAGCCUUUCGCAACAACAAAAAAUGGAUAGUCUU
Triticum dicoccoides is the source of this 1772-nucleotide long non-coding RNA. RefSeq lists it as uncharacterized. The transcript is spliced from 3 exons. The record is from RefSeq and is a predicted model, not a curated record. Lineage: Eukaryota; Viridiplantae; Streptophyta; Magnoliopsida; Poales; Poaceae.